CCCCUCUCAGGGUCACACCUGGAGAGUUUCCAGUCCUCUACCAAUCUUGACUACAGGAGGGAGAGUCAAGCAGAAUGUACCCAUUCCAUUCCUAGCUUGGCCAGGGGCUAGCGAGUGGCAGGCAAUCCGCUACAAGU
Molecule: small nucleolar RNA, 137 nt
Organism: Tachyglossus aculeatus (Australian echidna)
Lineage: Eukaryota; Metazoa; Chordata; Mammalia; Monotremata; Tachyglossidae
Source: RefSeq, a predicted model, not a curated record